Saccostrea cuccullata (small rock oyster) is the source of this 457-nucleotide long non-coding RNA. RefSeq lists it as uncharacterized. The transcript has 2 exons. The record is from RefSeq and is a predicted model, not a curated record. NCBI's taxonomy places the organism in Eukaryota, Metazoa, Mollusca, Bivalvia, Ostreida, Ostreidae.
UCAACAGUUUUGGUACACCCACCCACCUCAAAGAAUCAUGGAGGAUGUCCUGAAUCUGGUUCUUAUCAUCAAAGCCAGUUUAAUGGAGUGUGGGAGCUGUGAAGAACCUCCCUAGAUGCUGAUAUCAUUUUGACUGCCCUGAGUUACAACACAGCAUUUAGAUAAACUUCUGCACAGCAGCUUGUAGACACAUACCUAGGCUUUAUUUGGAACAUAAAUUGACCAGAUACAGUGUUCAUUAUCAACCCAGUAUUUAACAAUUUCUGUAUUUUUGUUCAUUCUUUGAAGGGGAAAAUGCAACUUUGUUAUGUAAUAAUUACAUAAUGGUCUUAGACUUGUAAACUCUUUUCUGUUUGUGGUGAAGAACAAAGCAUAUACUCUCCACGGAUAAAAAAUUGGUUGCCAAGCUUAUUCUUUUAAUGGUGAAAUUCUGCUUCAAAAGAUGCACAAAAAACUG